RNAcentral lists this ribosomal RNA (2777 nucleotides) under Citrobacter freundii. Its description in RNAcentral is "bacterial LSU rRNA". It matches the Rfam family "Bacterial large subunit ribosomal RNA". Lineage: Bacteria; Pseudomonadati; Pseudomonadota; Gammaproteobacteria; Enterobacterales; Enterobacteriaceae. The record is from RNAcentral.
AGCGUACACGGUGGAUGCCCUGGCAGUCAGAGGCGAUGAAGGACGUGCUAAUCUGCGAUAAGCGUCGGUAAGGUGAUAUGAACCGUUAUAACCGGCGAUUUCCGAAUGGGGAAACCCAGUGUGAUUCGUCACACUAUCAUUACGUGAAUACAUAGCGUAAUGAAGCGAACCGGGGGAACUGAAACAUCUAAGUACCCCGAGGAAAAGAAAUCAACCGAGAUUCCCCCAGUAGCGGCGAGCGAACGGGGAGCAGCCCAGAGUCUGAAUCAGCUUGUGUGUUAGUGGAACGGUCUGGAAAGUCCGACGGUACAGGGUGAUAGUCCCGUACACCAAAAUGCACAGGUUGUGAACUCGAAGAGUAGGGCGGGACACGUGGUAUCCUGUCUGAAUAUGGGGGGACCAUCCUCCAAGGCUAAAUACUCCUGACUGACCGAUAGUGAACCAGUACCGUGAGGGAAAGGCGAAAAGAACCCCGGCGAGGGGAGUGAAAAAGAACCUGAAACCGUGUACGUACAAGCAGUGGGAGCAUCCUUUUGGGUGUGACUGCGUACCUUUUGUAUAAUGGGUCAGCGACUUAUAUUCUGUAGCAAGGUUAACCGUAUAGGGGAGCCGAAGGGAAACCGAGUCUUAACUGGGCGUUAAGUUGCAGGGUAUAGACCCGAAACCCGGUGAUCUAGCCAUGGGCAGGUUGAAGGUUGGGUAACACUAACUGGAGGACCGAACCGACUAAUGUUGAAAAAUUAGCGGAUGACUUGUGGCUGGGGGUGAAAGGCCAAUCAAACCGGGAGAUAGCUGGUUCUCCCCGAAAGCUAUUUAGGUAGCGCCUCGUGAACUCAUCUUCGGGGGUAGAGCACUGUUUCGGCUAGGGGGUCAUCCCGACUUACCAACCCGAUGCAAACUGCGAAUACCGAAGAAUGUUAUCACGGGAGACACACGGCGGGUGCUAACGUCCGUCGUGAAGAGGGAAACAACCCAGACCGCCAGCUAAGGUCCCAAAGUCAUGGUUAAGUGGGAAACGAUGUGGGAAGGCACAGACAGCCAGGAUGUUGGCUUAGAAGCAGCCAUCAUUUAAAGAAAGCGUAAUAGCUCACUGGUCGAGUCGGCCUGCGCGGAAGAUGUAACGGGGCUAAACCAUGCACCGAAGCUGCGGCAGCGACACUAUGUGUUGUUGGGUAGGGGAGCGUUCUGUAAGCCGUUGAAGGUGUAUCGUGAGGUAUGCUGGAGGUAUCAGAAGUGCGAAUGCUGACAUAAGUAACGAUAAUGCGGGUGAAAAACCCGCACGCCGGAAGACCAAGGGUUCCUGUCCAACGUUAAUCGGGGCAGGGUGAGUCGACCCCUAAGGCGAGGCCGAAAGGCGUAGUCGAUGGGAAACAGGUUAAUAUUCCUGUACUUGGUGUUACUGCGAAGGGGGGACGGAGAAGGCUAUGUUAGCCGGGCGACGGUUGUCCCGGUUUAAGCAUGUAGGCGGAGGUUCCAGGUAAAUCCGGUACCUUUUUAACGCUGAGGUGUGAUGACGAGGCACUACGGUGCUGAAGUAACAAAUGCCCUGCUUCCAGGAAAAGCCUCUAAGCAUCAGGUAACACGAAAUCGUACCCCAAACCGACACAGGUGGUCAGGUAGAGAAUACCAAGGCGCUUGAGAGAACUCGGGUGAAGGAACUAGGCAAAAUGGUGCCGUAACUUCGGGAGAAGGCACGCUGAUAUGUAGGUGAAGUGAUUUACUCAUGGAGCUGAAAUCAGUCGAAGAUACCAGCUGGCUGCAACUGUUUAUUAAAAACACAGCACUGUGCAAACACGAAAGUGGACGUAUACGGUGUGACGCCUGCCCGGUGCCGGAAGGUUAAUUGAUGGGGUUAUCCGUAAGGAGAAGCUCUUGAUCGAAGCCCCGGUAAACGGCGGCCGUAACUAUAACGGUCCUAAGGUAGCGAAAUUCCUUGUCGGGUAAGUUCCGACCUGCACGAAUGGCGUAAUGAUGGCCAGGCUGUCUCCACCCGAGACUCAGUGAAAUUGAACUCGCUGUGAAGAUGCAGUGUACCCGCGGCAAGACGGAAAGACCCCGUGAACCUUUACUAUAGCUUGACACUGAACACUGGUCCUUGAUGUGUAGGAUAGGUGGGAGGCUUUGAAGUGUGGACGCCAGUCUGCAUGGAGCCAUCCUUGAAAUACCACCCUUUAAUGGCUGGUGUUCUAACGUGGACCCGUAAUCCGGGUUGCGGACAGUGUCUGGUGGGUAGUUUGACUGGGGCGGUCUCCUCCUAAAGAGUAACGGAGGAGCACGAAGGUUAGCUAAUCCUGGUCGGACAUCAGGAGGUUAGUGCAAAGGCAUAAGCUAGCUUGACUGCGAGAGUGACGGCUCGAGCAGGUGCGAAAGCAGGUCUUAGUGAUCCGGUGGUUCUGAAUGGAAGGGCCAUCGCUCAACGGAUAAAAGGUACUCCGGGGAUAACAGGCUGAUACCGCCCAAGAGUUCAUAUCGACGGCGGUGUUUGGCACCUCGAUGUCGGCUCAUCACAUCCUGGGGCUGAAGUAGGUCCCAAGGGUAUGGCUGUUCGCCAUUUAAAGUGGUACGCGAGCUGGGUUUAGAACGUCGUGAGACAGUUCGGUCCCUAUCUGCCGUGGGCGCUGGAGAAUUGAGGGGGGCUGCUCCUAGUACGAGAGGACCGGAGUGGACGCAUCACUGGUGUUCGGGUUGUCAUGCCAAUGGCAUUGCCCGGUAGCUAAAUGCGGAAGAGAUAAGUGCUGAAAGCAUCUAAGCACGAAACUUGCCCCGAGAUGAGUUCU